Molecule: long non-coding RNA, 3144 nt
Filed under: Lynx pardinus (Iberian lynx)
Lineage: Eukaryota; Metazoa; Chordata; Mammalia; Carnivora; Felidae
Source: RNAcentral
CCGGGUUCCAGUCCCACCGGGGCCUACAGUUCUCGGCAAACAACCUCGGGUAAGUUACCCAGCCGCACGGAGCCUCAGUUUCCCUGCAAGGAAACAGCCCAUCUCGGAGAAAAAUGCCCCUUUCCAGCCUCCGGGGACCCUUGCAGGCAAACUGCCAGGGAGCACGGCAGCCCGGCUGGGAAGCCUGGGAAGCGCCAAGUCACAACUGCCUUCAGCUCUCCUGCGCUCGCUCCUCCUCGGUGGGGGAGGGAGGGGUCUGCGCCCAGGCGGGGAGGCGCCCCGGGGCUCCCGAGUUCCCGACCCUGACUGUGGGCAGGGUGCGAGAGGAGCCCCGGGCCCCAGAGGGCCGGAGGAGCCCCGGGCCACCACCGUCCUCGCAGCCCCAGCCCGCGCAGGCACCCGGUCCCCGAGCCUCCCGCUCCAGCGCCCCGGGGGGCGGGGGGCGUGUGCGUGAGCGUCUCCAGUGGCAACGGCGCCGUCGCCGGGCAACCCGCGCGCCCCAGGCCCGCCGCGCCCCGGGGAGCCCCUUGGGGGAGGGGGGUGCAGAUGGCAGGGGGGACCCGCGGCAGCCCCUGGCUGGAGCUGCUCACGGGGUUGGGCCACCUGGGCCGCCCUGUGCCGGCACCCGCACGGAGGGAGGCAGGACACCCAGACCUUGCUGAAUCCCGGCAAGUCCUUUCCUUCUCUGGGGAACAGAAACAGGGGAGCUUCUCCGCCUUCUCCUGAGGCGGGGGUGAGGGGCAAAGGGGGCGCAGUCUGGGCGCCUGGUGAGUUGCCAGUCGGCAGGAGAUCCUCGGGGGCCAGUGGGGCACAGUGCCCGCGUCAGGGUGUGGGAUCCAGGUGAUGUCCAGCUCAGGACUGGCCCAUCUGGGGUCUUUACGGGCAGAGGGCAGCGUGGGGGACCCGUCUCCUGAGGCCCCAGAGCUCUGGCAGGGUUUGGGUUUCUCUCCCCUUGGGGUGCCUGCAUUUAGGGUAGCAUCGACCACUGCCUGCGCUGGCCUGAUUCGGUGCUUCCUCACCACCCCACGUCACACGAUCCAACCCCAAAGUCACCGGGUUCCAACAUCUCACCCCCCCCCCGCCACCAAUCGAAAUCCAGAUCAGCGAGUGUGACCCAUGAACUUGGAGAGCCUCGGGAGUGGGAUCUGGCAGAGGGGACUUUGGCCGCUUCAGGGAUGAGAUACCGUGGCACCUCUCCCCCGCCAGUGCCCAGCCCAGGUCAGCAGCACAGCCUGGGUGCCUGUCGUUGUCCCAAGGUUCCGGCUGCAGCCUCAGGACGGGGAGCCCGGGCCAAGACUGAUGGACAUGGAGUCUACCCCCACGGGCGAGGUGGGGGCUGACAGUGACUCACUAACUGGUCCGCUGCCUGGCUUCAGAGGGGAUCGGCUGGGCCUUACCACUUCCCCGCUGGCUGACCCUGAGCAGGUGACCUGACCUCCCUGGUCCUCAGUUUCCUCAGUCUAUGAAAUGGGGACAAAAGUAAGACUUUGUGGGGUGGUAGGGCGGUGCCGGAUGCCAGGCUCAGCCCCUCCCUCCUUUCCCAGCCUCUCUUUGGCCCUCAUUGCCUUCUGGUGUGUCCCCAGUACCCCCCCCCCCGCCGUUUUCCUCAUUUCCUCCCCCUUCCCCCACCCCUCAUCGUUUCAUCUCAUCUCCGUCCCCCUCUUCUCCGCUAUCAGUUUCGUUUCUCUGCUUGAACAUUUGGCGAGGCCCCGCCUGCUCGGCUUCGAGCCCCACCGGCCCCGGCUGCGCGCGUGGGUCCUGCCCUCCUGUUGCCCAGGGGCCGAGGGUGGGGGGUGGGGACGAGUGCUGACGUCACAGGACGUUUAUCCGCCCCUCCCCGCCUAACGCAAAUUUCAUCCCCCGUUCUCUCCGAAUCAAUUUACUUUUAUUGCCUCAGCUGCUCAGAAGCAAUUUUUCAAGAACAAAAAGGUCAGCACGUCCAAGACUAAUCAAUUCUCGGAGAGCUCCUGCCGCCACCGCCGGGGGAGCUGGGGACCGGUGGCCCCCGCCCUUCCCGCCGGCCCCCUCCCGCCAGCCCCAUCACUUUUAUUGCUUCGUGAUGGCUGUCAUUAGCGGGGUGUUGGAGACGCCCCACAGUGUUCUUACAACAUAAAACCCGGGCCGCUUGCAGAGGGGGGGCCGGGCGCAUUUAUGGCCACUCGCCGACUCUGGACGGUAACAGCCGAACUGAUGGAUCGCCCGCAAGGGGAGCCAGGACAGGAAGCAUCCAGCCACUUGUUCAAAGGCUCGGCAGGCAGGCCGGAGGAGCCGGGGCCCUGCCUGCCUGCUCUCGGGCCUGGCCCGCUUUCCCUCACCCCGCCCCCCUUCACUGUGACCUUGGGCACCUGCCCCCUGCCAUCCCUUCCAGGACUUUUCCCCCUGGUCCCCGCUGCAUCCCUGCUCACGGGCAGAAUAUUCCUUCCGGAGCAUCCCCUGCCCUCAGAAUGAGGCCAAGGCCCGUCCCUUCCAACACCGUGGGGUCUGCACUCCCAUUCCAGAGGGAGAAACUGAGGCCCGGUGUCACAGAAGUAGGAAGGGGCUACAUGCAGAUUGGGUCGCAUGCACGAGCAGGUGCCCGGUGGCGAACAGGUCUGCGGUUCUAGGCUUUGCUUGUCCGUGGCCCCGGCUGUCCUCGUCCCCUGUCACCCUGCCAUCAGGUGCCCACACCAACAACAGCAGCUAAAAUGCACCGAGGCUUCCGGGCAGACCCCGCCCUUCGCGCACUUGGUAGGUGAUGCCUCUGGCUCCGGGACAGCACUGUCGUUAGCCACUCUUAUGCCCACUUUUCAGAUGAGGAAGCCCACACAGGGAGACCGAGCAGCAGACCCCAGUCCACACGGCUGGGAACAGGGGCUGGGGCCCAACUCUCUGCGUUUUGCUUUUUAAAGACUGGCUGAGGAUAUGAACUAUGCGGAAAAGGCCAAAUCCACAGGUGCCGAAGACAGACUGGUGGUGGCCGAGGACCGUGGGGAGGGGGGUGGGGAGAGACUGCGUAAUGGCCAUGAGCUUUCCUUCUGAGGGCCCGAGAAUGUUCUGGAACCAGGCAGAGGGGUUGGUUGCACAACGUUGUGGAUGUGCUAAACGCCCCUGAGCGGUACAGUGUAAAACAUGGUUGAUUUCAUGUUAUGUGAACUUCACUCCAAU